CCUACGGGAGGCAGCAGUGGGGAAUAUUGGGCAAUGGGCGCAAGCCUGACCCAGCAACGCCGCGUGAAGGAAGAAGGCUUUCGGGUUGUAACCUUCUUUUCUGAGGGACGAAGAAAGUGACGGUACCUCAGGAAUAAGCCACGGCUAACUACGUGCCAGCAGCCGCGGGAAUACGUAGGUGGAAAGCGUGAUACGGAUUUAUUGGGUGUACAGGGCGUGUAGGCGGGAAAGCAAGUCAGAUGUGAAAACUCAGGUCUCAACCCUGAGCCGGCAUCUGAAACUGGUUUUCUUGAGUGCUGGAGAGGCAAUCGGAAUUCCGUGUGUAGCGGUGAAAUGCGUAGAUAUACGGAGGAACACCAGUGGCGAAGGCGGAUUGCUGGACAGUAACUGACGCUGAGGCGCGAAAGCGUGGGGAGCAAACAGGAUUAGAUACCCUAGUAGUC
RNAcentral lists this ribosomal RNA (443 nucleotides) under uncultured bacterium. RNAcentral describes it as "partial 16S ribosomal RNA". It matches the Rfam family "Bacterial small subunit ribosomal RNA", at positions 338 to 795 of the family's 1533-position model. The record is from RNAcentral.